GUUGAGCCAAAUUACUUUGGCUUAAAUAGGCCGGCAUUCUGCCAUGUGACAGGAGGCCGGACUGGGCAGAGUCACGAUUGAAAUGGCAAGAGACUAGAUUUGAUUAAAUUAUAUUCGGAGUGGCAUGAGGCCAAUAGGGCCGAGUUAUAAUCGAGACCCGUGAGUAUUGUGUCUGUACGUUUUUAAGUGAAUUGGUUGUGUAUUUCUAACUGCUCGAGCUUUUAGGAUUAAUGAUUAGCGCCAACGAUCCGAUAAUUACAAUUGAAAUCAACAACCUUUGUCCCCGUAUGCUUUUAUAGCCCAUGAUUUAUAAGUGAUUUUAGAGCUAAAUGCCCUAAUCUUAGAAAUUGUUUGAACUCUGUAAUAUAUAUAUAUAUAUGUAUAUAUAGAGUCUGGCUACAAUACUAUCGAUAGUACCAAGCCCUUAGUACUAUUGAGUUUUCUACCGUUAAAUCUACCCUUUGAUCAUUUCCACCCGUUAGAUUAUACUAUUAAACCAACCACCUACUCAACCCUAGGGGACCACUAUCAAUUUAAUCAGGGACCACUAUUAUCCUAACUGCACAUCUUUUCAUCCAACGGCCGAAAACUCAAUAGUACCAAGGUUUUGGUACUAUUGAUAGUAUAGUAGCAUAAUUCUAUAUAUAUAUAUAUAUAUAUAUAGGGUCCGGCUACUAUCCUAUUAAUAGGAUUGGGACCCUUAUCCUAUCAAGUCGAUUUGAAUGAUCGAAACUUUAAAUUAAUAAUCGGCACCGUUGAAGUUGAUCUACACAAUUAGAAAUGUUUAGAAACCAAAUUUUGUAAUAUUUAAAAAUCAUUAUCAAGUUCAUCUUAAGAGUUGAAAAAUAAAUGGUCAUAAAUGAAUACCUUCUUAAAAUAGAGAUUAGACUUUCUCAGUUCGUAAUCAGAGUUAUCAAACAUUAUCUAAAUAGUAUAAAGAAUUUUCUAUCAAAAAUUCAAGCAAUUUGGAUUGCUCUACACCGUUAAACAAGCAAACGGCUUAUAUAGGCCGUCAAAAAUUGUCGAUUUUACGACACUUUGAUCACCAUAUAAACCAUUAUCAAAAUUUAUGAAAUUUAGUUUCUAGAUAUCUCAAAUACUCUAGAUCAACUUCAACGGCUCCGAUCAUCGAUUCGGAAUCUCGAUCAUCAAGAACAACUUGAUAGGACAAGUGCUCCAAUCCUAUUAAUAGGAUAGUAGCAUUAGCCUCUAUAUAUAUAUAUAUAUAGAGAGAGAGAGAGAGAGAGAGAGAGAGAGAGCCUAGCUAUGUUGCUUGUAAAAAUACCCAGCACUUGGUGCUUGUAAUUUUUUUACCGUUAGAUCUCCGCCUUUGAUCAUUUCUACCCGUUAGAUUAUACUAUUCAACCAACCACCCACUAAACCUUAGGGGACCCACAUCAUCAUAACCGCACAUUCCUUAAUCCAAGGGGCGAAAACUUACAAGUACCAAUGACUUGGUACUUUUAAACGUAUAGGAGCUCAAUUCUAUAUGAGUCCAGCUAUGGUGCUUGUAAAAACACCAAGCACUUGGUGCUUGUAAUUUUUUUACCGUUAGAUCUCCGCCUUUGAUCAUUUUUAUCCGUUAGAUUAUACUAUUCAACCAACCACCGACUCAACCUUAGGGAGCCCACAUCAUCCUAACCGCACAUUGCUUAAUCUAAGGGCCGAAAACUUACAAGUACCAAUAACUUACUUUUAAAAGCAUAGGAGCUCAAUUCUAUAUGAGUCCGGCUAUGGUGCUUGUAAAAACACUAAGCACUUGGUGCUUGUAAUUUUUUUACCGUUAGAUCUCCGCCUUUUAUCAUUUUUAUCCGUUAGAUUAUACUAUCCAACCAACCACCCACUCAACCUUAGGGGCUCACAUCAUCCUAAUCGCACAUUCCUUAAUCCAAGGGUCGAAAACUUACAAGUACUAAUGACUUGAUACUUUUAAAAACAUAGGAGCUCAAUUUUAUAUAUAUAUAUAUAUAUAUAUAUAUAUAUAUAGUUAGAGAGAGAGAGAGAGAGAGAGAGAGAGAGAGAGAGUUCAACUAUGGUAUUUUUCAAAAGCACAAAACACUUGGUAUUUGUAAGUUUUUUGCUGUUAAAUCUACUCCUUUGACCAUAUUCAUCUAUUAUAUCAUAUUAUUCAACCAACCUUCACUAUUAUCCUAACUGCACAUUUCUUAAUACAAGAGUCGAAAAUCUACAAAUACUAAUAAUUUUAUACUUUUAAAAGUAUAAAAGCUCAAUUCUUUCUCUCUCUCUCUCUAUAUAUAUUGAGAAUGGACUUUUUAAAAUAU
Molecule: long non-coding RNA, 2282 nt
Filed under: Ananas comosus (pineapple)
Lineage: Eukaryota; Viridiplantae; Streptophyta; Magnoliopsida; Poales; Bromeliaceae
Description: long non-coding RNA (ACOM_LNC033918)
Source: RNAcentral